Long non-coding RNA from Canis lupus familiaris (dog), 1613 nucleotides. RefSeq lists it as uncharacterized. Lineage: Eukaryota; Metazoa; Chordata; Mammalia; Carnivora; Canidae. The transcript has 3 exons. The record is from RefSeq and is a predicted model, not a curated record.
CCCUCGGGCCGGCCCCGGCGCACCUUUUCUCCCCGCUGCCACAAUGUGAGCGCCCCGCCGCCCAGAUAACCGCCGACUCCCGCUCCACCCCCGCCCUCCCCCACUCCGCCCACUGCCGAGCGCCCAGGACCCUAGGACUUGCCCUUGUGUAUCUGAAGCUUUGGUGACCAGUACUUUGGAAGGCCUUGGGCCACAGGGCUGAGGGCGGCCGACAAGCAAGAGGGUGGAAUUUGCAGUGUCUGUCUCGUCUGGGUGAGACAGUUGGAAGACGUUUCUACCAAUUAUAGUGGUUAAACACUGACUCAACAGCCAACAACCUCAUGAGGUGUCAGAGCCUUCAUUCAUGGACAAGUUUCAAAAUGAGACAGGAUAGCACAACCCAUCAUGGGCAGUGCCGUCAGAGAAGAGAGGAGAGUGGAUUUCACACACAACAAGGUGGUUGUUUUCUGGAUGGAUCUCACCUCUCAGUGGGGGUGGUGGGGGGACAGAAUGGGGGCUGGUGCUUUUUUUUGGGGUCUUACCACGUGGACAUCCUGUGGGAAUAUUCCCCCCUCCUCAGCAAGAUACACUCUGCUCUGUGAAGAAUCCAGGCCGGAGUACAAGAGAUCUAUGAAGCUGCCGUGGAAGUCCAGCCCAGACGCUCGGGCCCUGGGUGGCCAUCCAGUCUGACCACACACACCCCAUUCUAGUUUCAGCAUUGGUGUCUGUCCUCCCUGAGAGUUCAUGGGCUCCCCCAGGGCAGGAGGCAUCCUAGUCACAUCAGAGCCAGCUCAGUACCUGUCACAGUGCCUGGUACACAGCUGCCGUUCAGUAAAUGUUUGCUCAAUAAAUCAACUAUAAACUUGGAAAUAGUUCCCUUAAAGAGCUCCUCGCUCUUGUUCAGAAGUAGAGUUGUACUGCAAACGCUGGUGUGCUGGGGAUGGGAAGGGACACUGUUGGGUAAUAAUAAUAAUAAUAAUAAUAGUUAGAAACACGUGGCAGGCCUUGGGAAAGAGCCCAAAAGUUCACAUUGUAUCUGCUAAACAAUAGGGAGCCAGUGCAGGUUCUUCGGGUCACCCACAGGAGCAGGCAAACAGGUAGAGGCUUUAACAGGCUGCAUUUGGCCUGGAAGAGGGUAGGGUCACCAAAGAACAGUGCCUCUUGGAGUGACCUGAUCACUGUGGCAAGCUCAAGAGCUGACUUUUGUGGCUGGAAGCUGAAUGGUUCAGCUGGGUGGGUGUCGAGAUGAGCGCAGUUCCCAUGUGAAUGUGGAGAGGUGGCCGUUGGAACAGCAGAGGCCAGUGCAGUCACAGCCAAGGAGGGCCAGGGAGGAAGAAGAUGCCUUGGGAAUUCUGGUGUCAUAUUCUGUGGAGUGGAGGUGAAGCCAAAAGGGAAGAUUUGUCUUUCUCCAGAGAGAGUUUCCUGAGGACAGAGGACAUGUCUUUUUUUUUUUUUUUUAGUUUAUUUGUUUAUUAAUCUGUACACCCAACUUGAGACUCAAACUCACAACCCUGAGAUCAAGAGUUGCCUGCUCUUCCAACUGAGCCAACCAGGGACCCCAGACAGAGGCCAUGUCUAAUGUAUCUACACUCACAGCUCCAAGCAGAGUGCCUUGCACAUAAUAGCUGCUAAAU